UACGGAGGGUGCAAGCAUUGAUCGGAAUUACUGGGCGUAAAGGGCGCGUAGGCGGCCUGAAAAGUCAGAUGUGAAAUUCCGGGGCUCAACCCCGGAGCUGCAUUUGAAACUUUCAGGCUUGAGGUUAGUAAGGGAAAACGGAAUUCCACGUGUAGCGGUGAAAUGCGUAGAUAUGUGGAAGAACACCGGUGGUGAAGACGGUUUUCUGUGCUAAACCUGACGCUGAGGCGCGAAAGCUAGGGGAGCAAACAGG
RNAcentral lists this ribosomal RNA (253 nucleotides) under uncultured bacterium. Its description in RNAcentral is "partial 16S ribosomal RNA". It matches the Rfam family "Bacterial small subunit ribosomal RNA", at positions 524 to 776 of the family's 1533-position model. The record is from RNAcentral.